Molecule: transfer RNA, 67 nt
Filed under: Rhopalopsole bulbifera
Lineage: Eukaryota; Metazoa; Arthropoda; Insecta; Plecoptera; Leuctridae
Description: tRNA-Met
Source: RNAcentral
AGAAAGGUAAGCUAAGAAAGCUACUGGGUUCAUACCCCAUCAAUAGAGGACACUCCUCUUCUUUCUA